Molecule: non-coding RNA, 186 nt
Organism: Vicia faba (fava bean)
Lineage: Eukaryota; Viridiplantae; Streptophyta; Magnoliopsida; Fabales; Fabaceae
Source: the annotation of a GenBank genome assembly
AUGGUAGGUAUCUUAUUUAUCUCCUACACGUUGUUAUAUUUUCUCUUGCUUUUGCAUAUGGCUUUAGUUGCUGGUUUUGCUGGUUUUCCCCUUAAUCCACUAAAACAGACCCACAAAACGGUAGCAUGCUUUCCUAAUUGCAAUACAUCUGACUCUGUUGUCACACCUGGAAUUAUUUUUAGUUAA